This 449-nucleotide ribosomal RNA is filed under the name uncultured bacterium. RNAcentral's name for it is "bacterial SSU rRNA". It matches the Rfam family "Bacterial small subunit ribosomal RNA", at positions 355 to 796 of the family's 1533-position model. The record is from RNAcentral.
UGGGGAAUUUUGGACAAUGGGGGCAACCCUGAUCCAGCCAUGCCGCGUGCGGGAAGAAGGCCUUCGGGUUGUAAACCGCUUUUGUUCGGGAAGAAAAGACCACGGCUAAUACCUGUGGUUCUUGACGGUACCGGAAGAAUAAGCACCGGCUAACUACGUGCCAGCAGCCGCGGUAAUACGUAGGGUGCGAGCGUUAAUCGGAAUUACUGGGCGUAAAGCGUGCGCAGGCGGUUCGUUGUGUCUGCUGUGAAAUCCCCGGGCUCAACCUGGGAAUGGCAGUGGAAACUGGCGAGCUUGAGUGUGGCAGAGGGGGGUGGAAUUCCGCGUGUAGCAGUGAAAUGCGUAGAGAUGCGGAGGAACACCGAUGGCGAAGGCAACCCCCUGGGCUGACACUGACGCUCAGGCACGAAAGCGUGGGGAGCAAACAGGAUUAGAUACCCCCGUAGUCC